GCAUGAAGUCGGAAUUGCUAGUAAUCGCGGAUCAGCAUGCCGCCGGUGAAUACGUUCCCGGGCCUUGUACACACCGCCCGUCACACCAUGGGAGCCGGUAAUACCCGAAGUCAGUAGUCCAACCUCGUGAGGACGCUGCCGAAGGUAGGAUUGGCGACUGGGGUGAAGUCGUAACAAGGUAAC
RNAcentral lists this ribosomal RNA (183 nucleotides) under uncultured bacterium. Its description in RNAcentral is "partial 16S ribosomal RNA". It matches the Rfam family "Bacterial small subunit ribosomal RNA", at positions 1318 to 1500 of the family's 1533-position model. The record is from RNAcentral.